GCCCUCGUAGCUCAGUUGGUAGAGCAGCACACUUGUAAUGUGACGGUCGUGAGUUCGAUUCUUACCGUGGGCACCA
RNAcentral lists this transfer RNA (76 nucleotides) under Saprospiraceae bacterium. RNAcentral's name for it is "tRNA-Thr". It matches the Rfam family "tRNA". From Rfam's summary of the family: Transfer RNA (tRNA) molecules are approximately 80 nucleotides in length. Their secondary structure includes four short double-helical elements and three loops (D, anti-codon, and T loops). The record is from RNAcentral. Lineage: Bacteria; Pseudomonadati; Bacteroidota; Saprospiria; Saprospirales; Saprospiraceae.